CUACGCCGCCGUGAAUACGUUCCCGGGCCUUGUACACACCGCCCGUCAAGCGAUGGAAGCCGGGGGACCCGAAGUCCCGUUAAGGGCCGAAGGUAAAAACCGGUGACUGGCGCU
This 114-nucleotide ribosomal RNA is filed under the name uncultured bacterium. Its description in RNAcentral is "partial 16S ribosomal RNA". It matches the Rfam family "Bacterial small subunit ribosomal RNA", at positions 1353 to 1482 of the family's 1533-position model. The record is from RNAcentral.